This 253-nucleotide ribosomal RNA is filed under the name uncultured bacterium. RNAcentral's name for it is "partial 16S ribosomal RNA". It matches the Rfam family "Bacterial small subunit ribosomal RNA", at positions 524 to 776 of the family's 1533-position model. The record is from RNAcentral.
UACGGAGGGUGCGAGCGUUGUCCGGAAUCACUGGGCGUAAAGGGCGCGUAGGUGGCGCAGGAAGUCAACGGUGAAAUCCCCGGGCUCAACCUGGGAAUGGCAAUGGAUACUGGCGGGCUAGAGUGUGUCAGAGGAUGGUGGAAUUCCCGGUGUAGCGGUGAAAUGCGUAGAGAUCGGGAGGAACAUCAGUGGCGAAGGCGGCCAUCUGGGACAACACUGACGCUGAAGCACGAAAGCGUGGGGAGCAAACAGG